GAAAGUGGCAGGCGCAAGAAGCCGUCACCAAAGCUGAGGCACGACUAAGGCACAAAACGCUGGUGGGCUCCAUGGCAAUGGGACGAGCAGGUCUUGGUUGUUUUCCCAAGCCACGUUAUGAUCUGGCUCGUGGAAAAGAGAGGCGCAAACUGAUUCAGGAUGAGAUACGAGCAGAGGUGGAGGAAGAACGCUACACCAAAAUGGCCAGCAUGUCCAAACAAGGAGCGUGGACCAGGUGGGAACAGGCAGAUCCACGCAGAAUAACCUGGGCAGAGCUCUGGAAAGCAGAGCCAUUUCGGAUCAAGUUUCUUGUCCAAUCCGUCUAUGACGUCCUCCCAAGCCCAGCUAACCUGCACACCUGGGGCCUGGCAGACACUCCUGAGUGCAAGCUGUGCAAGAAAAGGGGCACACUGGAGCACAUUUUGAGCAGCUGCACAAGAGCGCUAGGGGAAGGGCGGUACCGCUGGCGCCACGACCAGGUGCUAAAGGCUUUAGCGGACUCCAUCUGCACAGCGAUCCAGCUCAGCAAGACCCAGGCAGCCCCCAAACAAACAAUCACCUUCAUUAGAGCUGGGCAGAAGGAACAAUUCCACCGGCCUAGCUCUACGGGGGGGCUCCUCUCCACUGCUCGUGAUUGGCAGCUUCAGGUUGACCUUGGAAGACAGCUUAAGUUCCCAGGCAACAUCACAGCCACUUCUCUCCGCCCAGACAUGGUGCUAACGUCUGAGUCUACCAAGCAAGUGGUUAUCCUGGAACUAACUGUCCCCUGGGAAGACCGUAUUGAAGAGGCCUACGAGCGUAAGAGGGCUAAGUACGCAGGGCUCAGCUCGGAGUGCCGGAACAACGGCUGGAAAACUCGCUGCGAGCCAGUCGAGGUCGGGUGCCGAGGCUUCGCUGGCCACUCACUGCUGCGAACCCUCAAACUCCUUGGAGUGAAAGGACUGCAAUUGAAAAAAGCCACCGCAAACAUCUUAGAGGCCGCAGAGAGGGCUUCUCGGUGGCUGUGGAUCCGUAGGGGGGAUCCGUGGAGCAACAUGCCACUUGGACACAAGCCGGGGACUGAUCACCCCCGGUUGGGUCGCCCGGGUGAGGGUGUAUGAAGAUUAAAGACCCGAAACACCCUAUGACCCCGGGUUUUUCACUGAUGACGUGUCCAAGUAGCACCAGAAGGUGUAUUCAAACUC
Molecule: long non-coding RNA, 1184 nt
Organism: Cyprinus carpio carpio
Lineage: Eukaryota; Metazoa; Chordata; Actinopteri; Cypriniformes; Cyprinidae
Source: Ensembl